UUCCGGUUGAUCCUGCCGGACCUGACUGCUAUCGGAUUGAUACUAAGCCAUGCGAGUCAUUGUAGCAAUACAAGGCAUACGGCUCAGUAACGCGUAGUCAACCUACCCUAUGGACGGAAAUAACCUCGGGAAACUGAGAAUAAUAUCCGAUAGAACAUUAUGCCUGGAAUGGUUUAUGUUCCAAAUGAUUUAUCGCCGUAGGAUGGGACUGCGGCCUAUCAGUUUGUUGGUGAGGUAAUGGCCCACCAAGACUAUUACAGGUACGGGCUCUGAGAGGAGUAGCCCGGAGAUGGGUACUGAGACACGGACCCAGGCCCUAUGGGGCGCAGCAGGCGAGAAAACUUUGCAAUGUGCGAAAGCACGACAAGGUUAAUCCGAGUGAUUUCUGCUAAAGAAAUCUUUUGUUAGUCCUAGAAACACUAACGAAUAAGGGGUGGGCAAGUUCUGGUGUCAGCCGCCGCGGUAAAACCAGCACCUCAAGUGGUCAGGAUGAUUAUUGGGCCUAAAGCAUCCGUAGCCGGUUCUGUAAGUCCUCGGUUAAAUCUGUACGCUUAACGUACAGGCUGCCGGGAAUACUGCAUAGCUAGGGAGUGGGAGAGGUAGACGGUACUCGGUAGGAAGGGGUAAAAUCCUUUGAUCUAUUGAUGACCACCUGUGGCGAAGGCGGUCUACCAGAACACGUCCGACGGUGAGGGAUGAAAGCUGGGGGAGCAAACCGGAUUAGAUACCCGGGUAGUCCCAGCUGUAAACUAUGCAAACUCAGUGAUGCAUUGGCUUGUGGCCAAUGCAGUGCUGCAGGGAAGCCGUUAAGUUUGCCGCCUGGGAAGUACGUACGCAAGUAUGAAACUUAAAGGAAUUGGCGGGGGAGCACCACAA
Molecule: ribosomal RNA, 876 nt
Filed under: uncultured Nitrososphaerota archaeon
Lineage: Archaea; Thermoproteati; Nitrososphaerota
Description: bacterial SSU rRNA
Rfam family: Archaeal small subunit ribosomal RNA
Source: RNAcentral